CAGAUGGUAGCACCACAACUGGAAGGAGACAGCACUAAUGCAAUGCACAGACUUUUAUUUCAGGACCUUUACAACCUCAAGAAACAGCCCCUUAAGGGCAACAGAGCCAAAGAAGCCUCAUCCUUUAUAAAAUGGAGACGCUCCUGGAAGACAGCUUCUUUUUUGGGUCUGUCCUUGCUGAAGAGAGAGGCUGUGAGAAUACCAUAUGAUUGAUUUAAAAGGCAACUAGCCUAUAAUUAUAUUGCCACUGAGUGUGUGUUUCACUUGAAGCUUUUCCUUUUGUUAGAAUUAAAUGAGGUUUUGCCCAUUUGGCACCCCAA
Long non-coding RNA from Polypterus senegalus (gray bichir), 320 nucleotides. RefSeq lists it as uncharacterized. Lineage: Eukaryota; Metazoa; Chordata; Cladistia; Polypteriformes; Polypteridae. The record is from RefSeq and is a predicted model, not a curated record. The transcript has 2 exons.